UAGUCAUAUGCUUGUCUCAAAGAUUAAGCCACGCAUGUCUAAGCACAAGCCGAUUAAUGGUGAAGCCGCGAAUGGCUCAUUACAACAGCCAUAGUUUCUUAGAUCUUACUUUUCCACUUGGAUAACUGUGGUAAUUCUAGAGCUAAUACACGCAAACAAGCUCAGACCUUACGGAAUGAGCGCAUUUAUUAGAACAAAAACCAAUCGGGCUUCGGUCCGUCAUUUGGUGAAUCUGAAUAACUUUGCUGAUCGCACGGUCUUCGUACCGGCGACAUAUCUUUCAAAUGUCUGCCUUAUCAACUUUCGAUGGUAGUUUAUGCGCCUACCAUGGUUGUAACGGGUAACGGAGAAUAAGGGUUCGACUCCGGAGAGGGAGCCUGAGAAACGGCUACCACAUCCAAGGAAGGCAGCAGGCACGCAACUUACCCACUCCCGGCACGGGGAGGUAGUGACGAAAAAUAACGAGACGGCUCGCUAUGCGGUCCGUCAUCGGAAUGGGUACAAUUUAAAUCCUUUAACGAGGAUCUAUU
Molecule: ribosomal RNA, 530 nt
Filed under: uncultured eukaryote
Lineage: Eukaryota
Description: SSU rRNA
Rfam family: Eukaryotic small subunit ribosomal RNA
Source: RNAcentral